Molecule: ribosomal RNA, 501 nt
Filed under: uncultured Oscillibacter sp.
Lineage: Bacteria; Bacillati; Bacillota; Clostridia; Eubacteriales; Oscillospiraceae
Description: bacterial SSU rRNA
Rfam family: Bacterial small subunit ribosomal RNA
Source: RNAcentral
AGAGUUUGAUCCUGGCUCAGGACGAACGCUGGCGGCGUGCUUAACACAUGCAAGUCGAACGGAGUACCCUCGAAAGAGAUUUCGGUCAAUGGAGAGGACUACUUAGUGGCGGACGGGUGAGUAACGCGUGAGGAACCUGCCUUUCAGAGGGGGACAACAGUUGGAAACGACUGCUAAUACCGCAUAACGUACGGGUAUCGCAUGGUACUGGUACCAAAGAUUUAUCGCUGAGAGAUGGCCUCGCGUCUGAUUAGCUAGUUGGUAGGGUAACGGCCUACCAAGGCGACGAUCAGUAGCCGGACUGAGAGGUUGGCCGGCCACAUUGGGACUGAGAUACGGCCCAGACUCCUACGGGAGGCAGCAGUGGGGAAUAUUGGGCAAUGGGCGCAAGCCUGACCCAGCAACGCCGCGUGAAGGAAGAAGGCUUUCGGGUUGUAAACUUCUUUUGACAGGGAAGAGCAGAAGACGGUACCUGUCGAAUAAGCCACGGCUAACUACGUG